This 692-nucleotide ribosomal RNA is filed under the name uncultured bacterium. RNAcentral describes it as "bacterial SSU rRNA". It matches the Rfam family "Bacterial small subunit ribosomal RNA", at positions 8 to 713 of the family's 1533-position model. The record is from RNAcentral.
AGAGUUUGAUCCUGGCUCAGGACGAACGCUGGCGGCGCGCCUAACACAUGCAAGUCGAACGAGCGAGAGGGAGCUUGCUUUCUCGAGCGAGUGGCGAACGGGUGAGUAACGCGUGAGGAACCUGCCUCAAAGAGGGGGACAACAGUUGGAAACGACUGCUAAUACCGCAUAAGCCCACGGCUCGGCAUCGAGCAGAGGGAAAAGGAGUAAUCCGCUUUGAGAUGGCCUCGCGUCCGAUUAGCUAGUUGGUGAGGUAACAGCCCACCAAGGCGACGAUCGGUAGCCGGACUGAGAGGUUGAACGGCCACAUUGGGACUGAGACACGGCCCAGACUCCUACGGGAGGCAGCAGUGGGGAAUAUUGCACAGUGGGGGAAACCCUGAUGCAGCGACGCCGCGUGGAGGAAGAAGGUCUUCGGAUUGUAAACUCCUGUUGUUGGGGAAGAUAAUGACGGUACCCAACAAGGAAGUGACGGCUAACUACGUGCCAGCAGCCGCGGUAAAACGUAGGUCACAAGCGUUGUCCGGAAUUACUGGGUGUAAAGGGAGCGCAGGCGGGAAGACAAGUUGGAAGUGAAAUCUAUGGGCUCAACCCAUAAACUGCUUUCAAAACUGUUUUUCUUGAGUAGUGCAGAGGUAGGCGGAAUUCCCGGUGUAGCGGUGGAAUGCGUAGAUAUCGGGAGGAACACCAGU